RNAcentral lists this ribosomal RNA (117 nucleotides) under Lepisosteus oculatus (spotted gar). The record is from RNAcentral. Lineage: Eukaryota; Metazoa; Chordata; Actinopteri; Semionotiformes; Lepisosteidae.
ACCAGCAGCCGUAUCACCCUGCGGCUCUCAAAUGGCAGCCCACUAAAGCUCAGCAGGGUUGAGCCUGGUCAGCACCUGGAUGGGAGACCUCCUGGGAAGCAGUGGUUGCUGCUGGAA